UGAUCCGGCAGAGGAUGGACAUGCGGCGCAUUAGCUAGUCGGCGGGGUAACGGCCCACCGAGGCUACGAUGCAUAGGGGUUCUGAGAGGAAGGUCCCCCACACUGGUACUGAGACACGGACCAGACUCCUACGGGAGGCAGCAGUGAGGAAUAUUGGUCAAUGGGCGGAAGCCUGAACCAGCCAAGUCGCGUGAGGGAAGACGGUCCUAUGGAUUGUAAACCUCUUUUGCAGGGGAGCAAGGCGCGGUACGUGUACCGCGAAGGAGAGUACCCUGAGAAAAAGCAUCGGCUAACUCCGUGCCAGCAGCCGCGGUAAUACGGAGGAUGCGAGCGUUAUCCGGAUUUAUUGGGUUUAAAGGGUGCGCAGGCGGACUGUUAAGUCAGCGGUAAAAUGUCGGUGCUCAACACCGGCCGGCCGUUGAAACUGGCAGCCUUGAGUGAGCGAGAAGUAUGCGGAAUGCGUGGUGUAGCGGUGAAAUGCAUAGAUAUCACGCAGAACUCCGAUUGCGAAGGCAGCAUACCGGCGCUCAACUGACGCUCAGGCACGAAAGCGUGGGUAUCGAACAGGCUUAGAUACCCUGGUAGUCCACGCAGUAAACGAUGAAUGCUCACUGUCCGGGCCGUUUAAGGCCUGGGUGGUCAAG
RNAcentral lists this ribosomal RNA (644 nucleotides) under uncultured bacterium. RNAcentral's name for it is "bacterial SSU rRNA". It matches the Rfam family "Bacterial small subunit ribosomal RNA", at positions 211 to 851 of the family's 1533-position model. The record is from RNAcentral.